Molecule: long non-coding RNA, 1077 nt
Filed under: Anas platyrhynchos platyrhynchos (common mallard)
Lineage: Eukaryota; Metazoa; Chordata; Aves; Anseriformes; Anatidae
Description: lncRNA (ENSAPLG00000020814.1)
Source: RNAcentral
GCCAAAACCCGAUGGGGGCGGGGCCAAUGAAUGAGGGGGCGGGGCCAUUGAUGGAGGGGGCGUGGCCAAUGCGGGAGGGGCGGGGCCUCAGCAUUGCCCCUGGGGACACUGCCGCUGGGUGGGGGGGGCCCGGGGGUGCUGGUGGGGGGGGUGCCAUGGGUGCCAUGGGUGCUAUGGGUGCUGUGGGUGCUGUGGGUGCUGUGGGUGCUGGUGCCAUGGAGCCCCUUGGGGAGCUCAGGGCUGGGUCUUGGGGACCUUGGGGGGGGUGUAAAUGGCCGGGGGGGCUGGACCAGGACCAUGCCAAGCUGUGCCAUGCGGUGCCAUGCGCUACCACGCCGUGCCACACUGUGCCGUGCCAUACCAUGCUGUGCCAUGCCCUGCCGUGGCAUUUGGUGCCAUACCAUGCUGUGCCAUGCCAUACUGUGCCAUGCUGUGCCAUACUGUGCCAUACUGUGCCAUACUGUGCCAUACUGUGCCAUGCCGUGCCAUUCGGUGCUGUGCCAUGCGGUGCCAUGCCAUGCUCUACCACGCCGUGCCACACCGUGCCAUGCCAUAUACCAUGCUGUGCCAUGCCCUGCCGUGCCAUUUGGUGCUGUGCCAUGCCGUGCCAUUUGGUGCUGUGCCAUUCAGUGCCAUGCCAUACUGUACCAUACUGUGCCAUGCUGUGCCAUACUGUUCCAUUUGGUGCUGCCAUGCGGUGCCAUUGCUCUACCACGCCGUGCCACACUGUGCCAUGCCAUAUACCAUGCUGUGCCAUGCCGUGCCAUUUGGUGCCAUGUCAUGCCGUGCCAUGCCAUGCCAUUUAGUGCUGUGCCAUGCUGUGCCAUGCCAUACUGUGCCAUACAGUACCAUACUGUGCCAUGCCGUGCCAUUCAGUGCCGUGCCAUGCCAUGCCGUUCCACACCGUGGUGCCACAUGAAGCCCAAGGUCCCCAGUCAGGGCUGUCCCCCCCCAAACCCUGGGACCCCCCCCAGGCCCGGCUGUGGCCGAGGGGCUUGGAGCUGGGCACCGAGCCGGGCACAGCGCCCACCCGGCUGCCUUCGGUGCACCGGCAGCGGGUGAGGGUGAUGCAAGGAA